Molecule: ribosomal RNA, 211 nt
Filed under: Duganella sp. OV458
Lineage: Bacteria; Pseudomonadati; Pseudomonadota; Betaproteobacteria; Burkholderiales; Oxalobacteraceae
Description: 16S rRNA. Bacterial SSU
Rfam family: Bacterial small subunit ribosomal RNA
Source: RNAcentral
UUAAACUAAAGAGUUUGAUCCUGGCUCAGAUUGAACGCUGGCGGCAUGCCUUACACAUGCAAGUCGAACGGCAGCACGGAGCUUGCUCUGGUGGCGAGUGGCGAACGGGUGAGUAAUAUAUCGGAACGUACCCUGGAGUGGGGGAUAACGUAGCGAAAGUUACGCUAAUACCGCAUACGAUCUAAGGAUGAAAGCAGGGGACCGCAAGGCC